Molecule: long non-coding RNA, 282 nt
Organism: Impatiens glandulifera
Lineage: Eukaryota; Viridiplantae; Streptophyta; Magnoliopsida; Ericales; Balsaminaceae
Exons: 3
Source: RefSeq, a predicted model, not a curated record
CUUGUGGAUGUCCUCUUCUCUGACCCUUAUUUGAUGAUAAUCCGCACAUAUGUCGAGGUUGAUGAAAAUCGUUGCUUCAUAGAGCUCAUCCAGUAACUCGUCCACUACAGAUAUAAGGGAUAAAGGUAUAGUCUCAGAUUUGGUGGAAUCGUUUGAGAUUAUUAGAAUGAUCAGUUUUUUGAAUUGGAGACAGGCAGGCAGCUGGUUUGGUUCUAUGAAAACAGUGAGAUUGACUAAAUGUUGGCAUUUGUUUCUAUUUUGAGAUCAACCUGAAAAAUCAGG